CCCUUAGAUGUUCUGGGCCGCACGCGUGCUACACUGAGUAAUUCAAUGGGUAAGGGAACGCUAGAGCAUUACCUAGUCUUGAAAUUUGCUCGUGAUGGGGAUCGACGGUUGCAAUUUUCCGUCGUGAACGAGGAAUACCUUGUAGGCGCAUGUCAUCAUCAUGCGCCGAAUACGUCCCUGCCCUUUGUACACACCGCCCGUCGCUCCUACCGAUUGAGUGAUCCGGUGAGGCUCUGGGACCUGGACGGAAAGAGCGUUUCGCUUGUUCUGUUUGGGAAACUUGGUCGAACCUUAUCAUUUAGAGGAAGGAGAAGUCGUAACA
Molecule: ribosomal RNA, 322 nt
Filed under: uncultured eukaryote
Lineage: Eukaryota
Description: partial 18S ribosomal RNA
Rfam family: Eukaryotic small subunit ribosomal RNA
Source: RNAcentral